ACAAAAUAAGUGCAGACACAAAAUAAAAUCGAACACAAACAUCGAAUGCCCUUAGAAUAAACUGUGAAAUUGUAAAACUCAUUAAAAUGACAAUGGAAUAAAUAAAUAUUAUUGACUUUGGUUUAUUGGUUGUGGAUCGAGCCUGCGACUGGCAGGACUAUUAUGGAAAUUAAUUAAAUUACGCACAGAUAUGGAUACUAGAUGGGCAGAUACGAGGAUAAUUGCCAGUUCAGGACCAGAAUAUAAUAACUAGAUAUUAUUAAGCAUUAUAUUUGAGUUAAAUGGCUCGAAAUGAGAAGGAAGUUGCCCCCAUUAAAGGGGUAAACUGUUGCUAAGCCCCCCAAAAGGGUUCCUUGGCCCCCAAAGGCAAACACCGGGGCCAUGGCUAAUAGUGUGAAAACAAAGCAAGGACCUCCACGAAACUGAAACCCAAAAGAGAGCCCACCAACAAGGCCACAAAGGACAACAAAAAAAAUAAGAAAUAUAGAAGAAAAUAUCGUAAAAUACUAAGCGUAAAAUAUAAAAAAAUGUUAUUAGCAUUAAGAAAUGGCCAAGUGUCUUACACACAAGUACAGUAACAGGAAUGCGGCUGGAGAAUGGCAGGAAACAGCAGGGAUCGCCACUAAAAACUGAAAGCGAACCAAAAUUUAACCAAUUUAUGGACUAAGCCCUCCUAAAACACUCUAUAAAGGCCUAUAAUAAUAGAAUGUCAAUGAAAAUGAUAUUAUUCGGUAAUAAGGCGAGGACGUAACAUAAGAAAAUUGUGAUUCCGCCGUAAAUUCUGUCGUCUUCGUGUUAAUUACAUGAACUCAAGCAUGACACCAUUUUGCACAACACUUAUACAGGGCCCACCCCUUAGGGGUGGUAGUGGGAGUUAUGGGCUCGUGACAGAGCCUAACGACAGAAAUCGACAGGCCCGAACAUGCAAAUCAAAUUAUUUUGGAAUAUAAAAUGCUUAUUAACGGAUUAUAUGCUCACUCAAUAUGACUUGGAGAGUGGAGAGAGUGAGAGAGUGGAGAGUGCCUCCCUUUUGGAUCUCCUAUUAAUGGCCGAUAACUUUAUUUAUCGACCAGCCUAGGCUAUCGAAAUAAAUGACACCACCAGGCAACCGGAAGUUAAAGUUACAAAAAAUGUCAGAUUUUGAAGAAGAAAUGGAGACUGAUGGAUGUCCUGGUUAAUAAUCAGGAGAAAGUGAAGAGAUAUUAGGAAAAUUGUGGAAG
RNAcentral lists this small RNA (1220 nucleotides) under Drosophila ananassae. RNAcentral's name for it is "GF27939". The record is from RNAcentral. Lineage: Eukaryota; Metazoa; Arthropoda; Insecta; Diptera; Drosophilidae.